UCACAACAUAGAGAGAGCACAGAGCAUGCAACAGAAGUCAUUCCAAAAUCGCAAGUGCAAGUUUGUGCGAGUAUGUUCAGUUCAGGCCGGUGAUGGUGUUCUGCUCUCACGGGACCCCAAGAAACGACGGACAGGAGACACAUUUACAAGUCAGCACCAAGGACCAUAUACUGUGGCCAGCAUCUCUUCCAAAGGGGUGGCCACUAUCGUCAAAGGGUCAGCUUGUCAGAGGGUCAAUGUGUCAAUGUGACAUACUACAGAUUGAAAAAUGGACCAACUGAGAGGAUGUUUCUCCAGGACCACUGCUACUCAACAUUCAAAUGGCAGGUAGAGCAUCCAUAUGCUUGUUCAGGUGCAAGGUGGGAGAAGGUCUUGGACCCUAUUCAAGAUGAACUGUUAAAGUAUGUGUUGGACAAAAAUCGGCCAUCAGAAGAACUGAUCAUAAAGCAAGGCCAAAUGUGCCUCACACGAGAAGACUUCUGGAGCCUGGGUUUAAGCCAGUGCAUGGAAUCUAAUAUCGGAAAUGCCUGCCUCAAGAUUGUGGAAGAAGCUACACGAAGACAUGGAAAAAAUUUUCACAUUGUGGACCUCUAUGCUGUUCCCACCCG
Molecule: long non-coding RNA, 608 nt
Organism: Sinocyclocheilus anshuiensis
Lineage: Eukaryota; Metazoa; Chordata; Actinopteri; Cypriniformes; Cyprinidae
Exons: 5
Source: RefSeq, a predicted model, not a curated record